RNAcentral lists this ribosomal RNA (586 nucleotides) under uncultured bacterium. RNAcentral's name for it is "bacterial SSU rRNA". It matches the Rfam family "Bacterial small subunit ribosomal RNA", at positions 338 to 916 of the family's 1533-position model. The record is from RNAcentral.
CCUACGGGAGGCAGCAGUGGGGAAUUUUGGACAAUGGGCGCAAGCCUGAUCCAGCCAUGCCGCGUGCGGGAAGAAGGCCUUCGGGUUGUAAACCGCUUUUGUCAGGGAAGAAAUCCUUUGGGUUAAUACCUCGGAGGGAUGACGGUACCUGAAGAAUAAGCACCGGCUAACUACGUGCCAGCAGCCGCGGUAAUACGUAGGGUGCGAGCGUUAAUCGGAAUUACUGGGCGUAAAGCGUGCGCAGGCGGUUAUGCAAGACAGAUGUGAAAUCCCCGGGCUCAACCUGGGAACUGCAUUUGUGACUGCAUAGCUAGAGUACGGUAGAGGGGGAUGGAAUUCCGCGUGUAGCAGUGAAAUGCGUAGAUAUGCGGAGGAACACCGAUGGCGAAGGCAAUCCCCUGGACCUGUACUGACGCUCAUGCACGAAAGCGUGGGGAGCAAACAGGAUUAGAUACCCUGGUAGUCCACGCCCUAAACGAUGUCAACUGGUUGUUGGACGGCUUGCUGUUCAGUAACGAAGCUAACGCGUGAAGUUGACCGCCUGGGGAGUACGGCCGCAAGGUUGAAACUCAAAUGAAAUUGACGG